This 831-nucleotide ribosomal RNA is filed under the name uncultured bacterium. RNAcentral describes it as "bacterial SSU rRNA". It matches the Rfam family "Bacterial small subunit ribosomal RNA", at positions 67 to 890 of the family's 1533-position model. The record is from RNAcentral.
CAGCACAGAGAAGCUUGCUUCUUGGGUGGCGAGUGGCGAACGGGUGAGUAACAUAUCGGAACGUACCGAGCAGUGGGGGAUAACUAAUCGAAAGAUUAGCUAAUACCGCAUAUUUUCUGAGGAAGAAAGCAGGGGACCUUUGGGCCUUGCGCUGUUUGAGCGGCCGAUAUCUGAUUAGCUAGUUGGUGGGGUAAAGGCCUACCAAGGCGACGAUCAGUAGCGGGUCUGAGAGGAUGAUCCGCCACACUGGGACUGAGACACGGCCCAGACUCCUACGGGAGGCAGCAGUGGGGAAUUUUGGACAAUGGGCGCAAGCCUGAUCCAGCCAUGCCGCGUGUCUGAAGAAGGCCUUCGGGUUGUAAAGGACUUUUGUCAGGGAAGAAAAGGGCGGGGUUAAUACCCCUGUCUGAUGACGGUACCUGAAGAAUAAGCACCGGCUAACUACGUGCCAGCAGCCGCGGUAAUACGUAGGGUGCGAGCGUUAAUCGGAAUUACUGGGCGUAAAGCGGGCGCAGACGGUUACUUAAGCAGGAUGUGAAAUCCCCGGGCUCAACCUGGGAACUGCGUUCUGAACUGGGUGACUAGAGUGUGUCAGAGGGAGGUAGAAUUCCACGUGUAGCAGUGAAAUGCGUAGAGAUGUGGAGGAAUACCGAUGGCGAAGGCAGCCUCCUGGGAUAACACUGACGUUCAUGCCCGAAAGCGUGGGUAGCAAACAGGAUUAGAUACCCUGGUAGUCCACGCCCUAAACGAUGUCGAUUAGCUGUUGGGCAGCAUGACUGCUUAGUAGCGAAGCUAACGCGUGAAAUCGACCGCCUGGGGAGUACGGUCGCA